This 1343-nucleotide ribosomal RNA is filed under the name uncultured bacterium. RNAcentral describes it as "16S ribosomal RNA". It matches the Rfam family "Bacterial small subunit ribosomal RNA", at positions 28 to 1378 of the family's 1533-position model. The record is from RNAcentral.
GACGAACGCUGGCGGCGUGCUUAACACAUGCAAGUCGAACGGAAAGGCCCUGCUUUUGUGGGGUGCUCGAGUGGCGAACGGGUGAGUAACACGUGAGUAACCUGCCCUUGACUUUGGGAUAACUUCAGGAAACUGGGGCUAAUACCGGAUAGGAGCUCCUGCUGCAUGGUGGGGGUUGGAAAGUUUCGGCGGUUGGGGAUGGACUCGCGGCUUAUCAGCUUGUUGGUGGGGUAGUGGCUUACCAAGGCUUUGACGGGUAGCCGGCCUGAGAGGGUGACCGGCCACAUUGGGACUGAGAUACGGCCCAGACUCCUACGGGAGGCAGCAGUGGGGAAUAUUGCACAAUGGGCGGAAGCCUGAUGCAGCAACGCCGCGUGCGGGAUGACGGCCUUCGGGUUGUAAACCGCUUUCGCCUGUGACGAAGCGUGAGUGACGGUAAUGGGUAAAGAAGCACCGGCUAACUACGUGCCAGCAGCCGCGGUGAUACGUAGGGUGCGAGCGUUGUCCGGAUUUAUUGGGCGUAAAGGGCUCGUAGGUGGUUGAUCGCGUCGGAAGUGUAAUCUUGGGGCUUAACCCUGAGCGUGCUUUCGAUACGGGUUGACUUGAGGAAGGUAGGGGAGAAUGGAAUUCCUGGUGGAGCGGUGGAAUGCGCAGAUAUCAGGAGGAACACCAGUGGCGAAGGCGGUUCUCUGGGCCUUUCCUGACGCUGAGGAGCGAAAGCGUGGGGAGCGAACAGGCUUAGAUACCCUGGUAGUCCACGCUGUAAACGGUGGGUACUAGGUGUGGGGUCCAUUCCACGGGUUCCGUGCCGUAGCUAACGCUUUAAGUACCCCGCCUGGGGAGUACGGCCGCAAGGCUAAAACUCAAAGGAAUUGACGGGGCCCCGCACAAGCGGCGGAGCAUGCGGAUUAAUUCGAUGCAACGCGUAGAACCUUACCUGGGUUUGACGUGGAUCGGGAGUGCUCAGAGAUGGGUGUGCCUCUUUUGGGGUCGGUUCACAGGUGGUGCAUGGCUGUCGUCAGCUCGUGUCGUGAGAUGUUGGGUUAAGUCCCGCAACGAGCGCAACCCUUGUUCACUGUUGCCAGCACGUUAUGGUGGGGACUCAGUGGAGACCGCCGGGGUCAACUCGGAGGAAGGUGGGGAUGACGUCAAGUCAUCAUGCCCCUUAUGUCCGGGGCUUCACGCAUGCUACAAUGGCUGGUACAGAGGGUGGCGAGCCUGUGAGGGUGAGCGAAUCUCGGAAAGCCGGUCUCAGUUCGGAUUGGGGUCUGCAACUCGACCUCAUGAAGUCGGAGUCGCUAGUAAUCGCAGAUCAGCAACGCUGCGGUGAAUACGUUCCCGGG